Molecule: ribosomal RNA, 2130 nt
Filed under: Escherichia coli
Lineage: Bacteria; Pseudomonadati; Pseudomonadota; Gammaproteobacteria; Enterobacterales; Enterobacteriaceae
Description: partial 23S ribosomal RNA
Rfam family: Bacterial large subunit ribosomal RNA
Source: RNAcentral
GUUAAGCGACUAAGCGUACACGGUGGAUGCCCUGGCAGUCAGAGGCGAUGAAGGACGUGCUAAUCUGCGAUAAGCGUCGGUAAGGUGAUAUGAACCGUUAUAACCGGCGAUUUCCGAAUGGGGAAACCCAGUGUGUUUCGACACACUAUCAUUAACUGAAUCCAUAGGUUAAUGAGGCGAACCGGGGGAACUGAAACAUCUAAGUACCCCGAGGAAAAGAAAUCAACCGAGAUUCCCCCAGUAGCGGCGAGCGAACGGGGAGCAGCCCAGAGCCUGAAUCAGUGUGUGUGUUAGUGGAAGCGUCUGGAAAGGCGCGCGAUACAGGGUGACAGCCCCGUACACAAAAAUGCACAUGCUGUGAGCUCGAUGAGUAGGGCGGGACACGUGGUAUCCUGUCUGAAUAUGGGGGGACCAUCCUCCAAGGCUAAAUACUCCUGACUGACCGAUAGUGAACCAGUACCGUGAGGGAAAGGCGAAAAGAACCCCGGCGAGGGGAGUGAAAAAGAACCUGAAACCGUGUACGUACAAGCAGUGGGAGCACGCUUAGGCGUGUGACUGCGUACCUUUUGUAUAAUGGGUCAGCGACUUAUAUUCUGUAGCAAGGUUAACCGAAUAGGGGAGCCGAAGGGAAACCGAGUCUUAACUGGGCGUUAAGUUGCAGGGUAUAGACCCGAAACCCGGUGAUCUAGCCAUGGGCAGGUUGAAGGUUGGGUAACACUAACUGGAGGACCGAACCGACUAAUGUUGAAAAAUUAGCGGAUGACUUGUGGCUGGGGGUGAAAGGCCAAUCAAACCGGGAGAUAGCUGGUUCUCCCCGAAAGCUAUUUAGGUAGCGCCUCGUGAAUUCAUCUCCGGGGGUAGAGCACUGUUUCGGCAAGGGGGUCAUCCCGACUUACCAACCCGAUGCAAACUGCGAAUACCGGAGAAUGUUAUCACGGGAGACACACGGCGGGUGCUAACGUCCGUCGUGAAGAGGGAAACAACCCAGACCGCCAGCUAAGGUCCCAAAGUCAUGGUUAAGUGGGAAACGAUGUGGGAAGGCCCAGACAGCCAGGAUGUUGGCUUAGAAGCAGCCAUCAUUUAAAGAAAGCGUAAUAGCUCACUGGUCGAGUCGGCCUGCGCGGAAGAUGUAACGGGGCUAAACCAUGCACCGAAGCUGCGGCAGCGACGCUUAUGCGUUGUUGGGUAGGGGAGCGUUCUGUAAGCCUGCGAAGGUGUGCUGUGAGGCAUGCUGGAGGUAUCAGAAGUGCGAAUGCUGACAUAAGUAACGAUAAAGCGGGUGAAAAGCCCGCUCGCCGGAAGACCAAGGGUUCCUGUCCAACGUUAAUCGGGGCAGGGUGAGUCGACCCCUAAGGCGAGGCCGAAAGGCGUAGUCGAUGGGAAACAGGUUAAUAUUCCUGUACUUGGUGUUACUGCGAAGGGGGGACGGAGAAGGCUAUGUUGGCCGGGCGACGGUUGUCCCGGUUUAAGCGUGUAGGCUGGUUUUCCAGGCAAAUCCGGAAAAUCAAGGCUGAGGCGUGAUGACGAGGCACUACGGUGCUGAAGCAACAAAUGCCCUGCUUCCAGGAAAAGCCUCUAAGCAUCAGGUAACAUCAAAUCGUACCCCAAACCGACACAGGUGGUCAGGUAGAGAAUACCAAGGCGCUUGAGAGAACUCGGGUGAAGGAACUAGGCAAAAUGGUGCCGUAACUUCGGGAGAAGGCACGCUGAUAUGUAGGUGAGGUCCCUCGCGGAUGGAGCUGAAAUCAGUCGAAGAUACCAGCUGGCUGCAACUGUUUAUUAAAAACACAGCACUGUGCAAACACGAAAGUGGACGUAUACGGUGUGACGCCUGCCCGGUGCCGGAAGGUUAAUUGAUGGGGUUAGCGCAAGCGAAGCUCUUGAUCGAAGCCCCGGUAAACGGCGGCCGUAACUAUAACGGUCCUAAGGUAGCGAAAUUCCUUGUCGGGUAAGUUCCGACCUGCACGAAUGGCGUAAUGAUGGCCAGGCUGUCUCCACCCGAGACUCAGUGAAAUUGAACUCGCUGUGAAGAUGCAGUGUACCCGCGGCAAGACGGAAAGACCCCGUGAACCUUUACUAUAGCUUGACACUGAACAUUGAGCCUUGAUGUGUAGGAUAGGUGGGAGGCUU